CGCUCUUGUUUGUAUUCAAACUGCAUAAAUCUUUUGUCUUUUACUGAAGAAUUCCGUGGAGCGAAAGCUAAAGAGUUUUCUUGAAUUUUUUGAUACCUUACUUAUUAGUAAGGCU
Thalassophryne amazonica is the source of this 115-nucleotide small nuclear RNA. RefSeq annotates it as U5 spliceosomal RNA. The transcript has a single exon. NCBI's taxonomy places the organism in Eukaryota, Metazoa, Chordata, Actinopteri, Batrachoidiformes, Batrachoididae. The record is from RefSeq and is a predicted model, not a curated record.